GAUAGUAGAAUGACGUUCAAGUAUAGAAAAAAGGGGUUGAAGAGGAGCUGUGGAAAAGGAUUAGUUUCAACCAACCGGUUGGUUUUUCCCGCGAGCAAAAGGGCGGUGGUGCUUU
This is a non-coding RNA of Caenorhabditis elegans, 115 nucleotides long. NCBI's taxonomy places the organism in Eukaryota, Metazoa, Nematoda, Chromadorea, Rhabditida, Rhabditidae. The record is from Ensembl.